This 496-nucleotide ribosomal RNA is filed under the name uncultured bacterium. Its description in RNAcentral is "partial 16S ribosomal RNA". It matches the Rfam family "Bacterial small subunit ribosomal RNA", at positions 28 to 507 of the family's 1533-position model. The record is from RNAcentral.
GAUGAACGCUGGCGGCGUGCCUAAUACAUGCAAGUCGAGCGGACGGACGAGAAGCUUGCUUCUCUGAUGUUAGCGGCGGACGGGUGAGUAACACGUGGAUAACCUACCUAUAAGACUGGGAUAACUUCGGGAAACCGGAGCUAAUACCGGAUAAUAUUUUCAACCGCAUGGUUCAAAAGUGAAUGACGGUCUUGCUGUCACUUAUAGAUGGUUCCGCGCUGCAUUAGCUAGUUGGUAAGGUAACGGCUUACCAAGGCAACGACGCAUAGCCGAACUGAGAGGGGGAUCGGCCACACUGGAACGGAGAACCGGUCCCGACUCGUACGGGAGGCAGCAGUAGGGAAUCUUGCGCAAUGGGCGAAAGCCUGACCGGGCAACGCCGCGUGAGUGAUGAAGGUCUUCGGAUCGUAAACUCUGUUAUUAGGGAAGAACAUAUGUGUAAGUAACUGUGCACAUAUUGACGGUACCUAAUCAGAAAGCCACGGCUAACUACGUG